Molecule: long non-coding RNA, 1142 nt
Organism: Mugil cephalus (flathead mullet)
Lineage: Eukaryota; Metazoa; Chordata; Actinopteri; Mugiliformes; Mugilidae
Exons: 4
Source: RefSeq, a predicted model, not a curated record
GCACUCUACCUGUUACGUAGGGGGCGUGGCCAGCGACUGUUGUUACUGCGGCUUCAUCCAAAGAGAAAAGAGACACUGAGCGAAACAGGGCGACACUCUCCUCACAAUAGUUGUGUUUUUGGUCAGUAAGCGGAUAUUUUGUGACAGCACGCAGCCGAGCCGAUGUUGGCCAUUGUUCUAAACAGGACGGUAUGUGAGCUGAGAGAGGAUGAGCUGAGUCCUGAUGAUCCAGAGGUUGAAUCAGCAGCAGCUUGUGUGUAGAGAGACUCUGACUGGACCAUGUUACUGGGAGGUGGAGUCAAGAGGAGAGCUUCAUCCACAUGUUUCUCCAUGUCAGACCAGUGGUGUCGUCUAUGUGAUACGCAGCGUUCACUUUUGGACCAUGGGGGCUUCCGUCAAGCGUGACGUGGACCUGACGUUAACUACUAAGGAAGCAGUGAAGUUGUGCGGCGGGAACGAGUCGACAACUUGAACUGGUCCAACGUUCGUCAGUGGGGAAGGAAUGUGGAGAAAAAACAAUGAGAAGAAAGAAAAGGAAGCCCAGUGACACUAUUUGAGAUGGUAGGGAAGGAGAGCUGAUGACGCUGUCGUCCUACCUGGUUGUGUAUCUGCACUGCAACAAAAUCCACUGGCGUCCUCACAGAGGAAAGGGCGUCUACAUCUGAGGAGUGGGUGUCCUUUAAAAUCCAGUCCUCAGACACAAACCACAAACAGCUCUAGGUCCUUUUUCUUUAUUUGAAUCUUAUUUGUCUUAUCACUGUCUGUUCAGUGGUUAAUUAAAGUCCAGCUGUUCAUGUCUGUUAUACAUCUUGUGUUGCUUCCAAUACAUUUACAUUCAGAUAAUACAUAACCAGUCUUUCAUGACCUCAGUUAUGUGUGGAUCCAGACUUUAUGCAUUAAUGAGCCUGGUGGUUCUUGUGUGGGGCCGUUUUGGAGCAGCUGCUGCUCUGGGAGGGGGGCUGCAGGACAGAUGUUGCUCCAGGACGGGGGUGUACGAGGCUGGGAGGGGAACAAUCAGAGUAUACCCACUAGAAUAAACUAGACUACACCACUGUUUAAGACCAUCAACAGAACUGCAACCAAACUACUCUAACAGUACCAACACAUGAAGUCCAGUUCCUCUUGAAUUAUUCAGACACAUU